Molecule: ribosomal RNA, 434 nt
Filed under: uncultured Lachnospiraceae bacterium
Lineage: Bacteria; Bacillati; Bacillota; Clostridia; Lachnospirales; Lachnospiraceae
Description: partial 16S ribosomal RNA
Rfam family: Bacterial small subunit ribosomal RNA
Source: RNAcentral
ACGGGAGGCAGCAGUGGGGAAUAUUGGACAAUGGGGGGAACCCUGAUCCAGCGACGCCGCGUGAGUGAAGAAGUAUUUCGGUAUGUAAAGCUCUUUAAGCAGGAAGGAAGAUGACGGUACCUGCAGAAUAAGCCCCGGCUAACUACGUGCCAGCAGCUGCGGUAAUACGUAGGGGGCAAGCGUUAUCCGGAUUUACUGGGUGUAAAGGGAGCGUAGACGGCAAUGCAAGUCUGAAGUGAAAGCCCGUGGCUUAACUGCGGGACUGCUUUGGAAACUGUGAAGCUAGAGUGCAGGAGAGGUAAGUGGAAUUCCUAGUGUAGCGGUGAAAUGCGUAGAUAUUAGGAGGAACACCAGUGGCGAAGGCGGCUUACUGGACUGUAACUGACGUUGAGGCUCGAAAGCGUGGGGAGCAAACAGGAUUAGAUACCCUGGUA